UGAGGGAUAUUGCACAAUGGGCGCAAGCCUGAUGCAGCGACGCCGCGUGGGUGAAGAAGGUUUUCGGAUCGUAAAACCCUUUUCUGUGUGACGAGCAAGGACGGUAGCACAGGAAUAAGUCUCGGCUAACUACGUGCCAGCAGCCGCGGUAAAACGUAGGAGACAAACGUUAUCCGGAGUUACUGGGCGUAAAGGGCGUGCAGGCGGCAGUCUAAGUCUGGCGUGAAAUUUCCCGGCUUAACCGGGGGAGGUCGUCGGAUACUGGGCAGCUCGAGGGCGGUAGAGGCGUGUGGAAUUCCGGGUGUAGUGGUGAAAUGCGUAGAGAUCCGGAGGAACACCAGUGGCGAAGGCGACACGCUGGGCCGCACCUGACGCUAAGACGCGACAGCAUGGGGAGCAAACAGGAUUAGAUACCCACGUAGUCCCUGAGCGGGCUGGCAAGGCGCAU
This 448-nucleotide ribosomal RNA is filed under the name uncultured bacterium. RNAcentral describes it as "bacterial SSU rRNA". It matches the Rfam family "Bacterial small subunit ribosomal RNA", at positions 355 to 825 of the family's 1533-position model. The record is from RNAcentral.